Astatotilapia calliptera (eastern happy) is the source of this 1100-nucleotide long non-coding RNA. Lineage: Eukaryota; Metazoa; Chordata; Actinopteri; Cichliformes; Cichlidae. The record is from Ensembl.
GGUGUUUUGGUUUUCUGUCUCUUACAGAGAAAGGAACAGACAACAGACGAGGUCACAGAGAUGCGAGGAUCCUCCGUAGCAGAGUCAGACACAGUGACUGCCGAGACAUCAACUGGGUCCAAGGGUCAUGGCGUUUGGGCUCCAGCUAGUCACCACAAAAGGAUGGAUCCCAUAAACACAGCAAUAACCAUGAAGGGGUUGGCGGAAAUCCGGAAACACCAGACCAACGAAGUUCGAGAGGCUUUUGGGCAAAAAGGGGACACCUUCCUGUUCCUUUUUCUGGAGAAUACACAGAUCGUUGUUUGAAAUCGGAGCAGAAUAAUCCCCUGAUCUGUGUUACGACUGAAGGGUUGUCUAACCCCUAAGGUUGAGGAAUUAAGAGCAGAGGAUCACCCAACUGGACGACACUGGUAGCUGCAGCAAUAAAAUAAAGGUUAAGAGCUCUUCGGACAGAGGUUCUAGUCUACGUCUGAAUGGUAUCAGGGAACAUCAAAUAAAGCUGUGGGAGAACAGGGGAGUGUCAUCUGGACCUGCUAUCCUUGUAGUAAUAGUUUGUCUUGCACCUGACUUGCGCAAACACAGAGGUCAUCUUACAUAUGGUUCGCCCCUCAGGGGGACAAAGGACCUCAGGAGUGAGAAGAGAUGAACCCGGCCACACUGGGCUACAGGGUGUUUGUGAGGUCAUUAUUCUAAUGACCUCAUCAGGGGGAAUUGUAAAAUUAUGAUAUUAUUUUAUGCCAUGUUAUACCCCUAAUUAAAGAUUGUGAAUUAUUAUGUAGUUUUAGUUUGCAUUAUUCUCCUGAAUUAGAAGAAGCUGAUAACUAUUGCAUUAGUUAAACUGAUUUGCAUUACAUUAAAUUGCUGACUUGUUGUGAAUGAAUGAUAUUGUUUUAUGAUGCAUUAUAUUGCUGAGUUAUAAGAAAUACUGUUCGCAGAAGGUUAUUGUCUAAUUUGUCUGAGUAGAAGAGAACAGAGUGUGCUGGAGUUUUCUGCCCCAUUUCAGCAGGAGCAGAUAAACAGGGAGCCAAGGUCGUAGCUUAGGCGCUGUGUGAGAGAGAGCAUGUGAAUGUUUAGGCUUUUUAUGAUAAGGUGGAGGCACC